Long non-coding RNA from Hemibagrus wyckioides, 2302 nucleotides. RefSeq lists it as uncharacterized. NCBI's taxonomy places the organism in Eukaryota, Metazoa, Chordata, Actinopteri, Siluriformes, Bagridae. The transcript is spliced from 3 exons. The record is from RefSeq and is a predicted model, not a curated record.
GAUGCUUUUAGCUUAAAGUCCGACAAAAUGACUAUCUGCAUGGCAGCCUCAUCUUCACUGGCGGCAUAUCAGGUGGGAAGAAAAGAGAGAUGAUCUGGGUGGAAAAAACAACCAAUUUGAAAAGACACCUGAAGACACGCCACCCUACAGUGUAUGCCAAGGCUGUCGAAAAUGGAGGCAAAGCUCUGAGAAAUAAUUGGCCAGCAAAUUGAGAAAUUGGUCCUUACAUCUGGAAUGCCACCUACUGUUGAGGAGCUGCAGAAAAUUGUAAAAAAAGACCUUUGCGAUUGCAGAUGAGUUCAGCCUCCAAUAUUUGGACACAGAAUUCAAGGAUUACUUCACUCUUAAUAAAACAGACCUAAUUAAACACAAAGACACCACAAAGGUUGUUAAGACUGUCCCAGUUGUUCUCAAACUUUUUCCAGUGGGUAUCACAGAAUCUGCUCAGCAGGAAACCGACUGUGACUCUGUAUCUAUCUAUGUCCAUGACAUCUUGUACAGACUUAUCUUCUGGAUCAUCUUCCUCACAGGACACCAUUAUUCUGCCACGAAGUGCCAGUGAACGAUGCCAGCUGUGGCCAAAAGAGUUCCCUGUUCCACAGUUUGCAUACAAAACGGAGAUGUACCUUGAAACAGCCACUGAAGCCUACAAGAAGAGUGGGACACUUGUAACAGCCUCAAGGGUCAAGGCAGACAUCCUUGAAAAGUUGGCGGAAUCUAUAUUUUCCUACACUGCUUAUCCAUCAAGUGCACAGAUAAGUGAUGUUGCUGAGGCACUCGUCAAGAAAUACCCUUGUCUCAAGGAAGCUGGCUUCUUUGCAGGUUACUAUGGGUGGCAGCAAAGCAUCAAAUAUAAGAUGGGAAAUUAUCCUGUUCCCGAGCUAACAUGCAAUGCACUGAAAGGCAGGAGUCCUACUGACCAGAAAUCUGCAAAAAAUGUGAAAAGCCCCAAAAACAGAGGUAAAUUACCUCCCCCAUUACCUGGCAGGAGACAGUGAGGAAAGUUUAGGAAAAGAGAGGAUCCUGUUGCUAACUGAAGUCAAAAAAGGGACAAUGACAAGGUCAUAAAAGAGAAAAUGUCCAAAACAUUUGCACUAAGAAGAAAUGAAACAACUAAUCUGUCCCCCAGCAUUGAGGACAUCAAAGCCAGAUGGCCAGCUCCAUUUGAGGCAUCUCAUGCAAGUCACAAAUGCAUAAUGAUUAAUUAAACACAAAAUGUUUGAAUUUGACAUGAUUAACAACUAUUUUCCAGAAUAUAAUGUUUAGACUUAAAGGGCUGAAUUCUGCUGCAAGGUAAUAAAUAUUUGAAUACUUCUGCUUAAAACAAAAAACAAAAGGAGAAGUUCACAAUUUUCCAGGUCUUUUGUAAAACAAUAGCCAUGUACCCAUAUGACCACUGAUGCAUGUUAUCCUGUGCAUGCUGUGCAUACCAGCUGUUCAUGGUACCUUCAUAAUAUGCUAUCAACAUAAAUGUGUUCACAAGUUUCUGAGUCAUAUGAGUGAUGCUAACCUAGUGGAAAUGUUUUUAAAAAAAAAAAAAAAAAAAAAAGUUCUUGUAAGUGUUCUCCUUUUUGUUAAAACUGUUAUAUUGAAACUGUAUUAGGAAGGGAUCUUCAGUUAGUAUGAACAGGGGAAAUGAUUACAGCAAGCAAAAUCUGUUAAAAUGUUCAUUUGGACCCCUGACAAUUGUUUUAAGACAGGCUUGAACAUUUUUCAGGUGUGUCUUUUUGAGGUAUACAGUCAGAAAACCUGAAGGAUAACUUGGUUUCCUGUGGAUUCUAAAUAUGCUGUCAGAACAUACUGUAUAAUUUUAUGCAUGGGUGCUAUCUUCCUUAUUUGUCUUUCAGAUCAAGGAUGAGUUUCAUAGAAUUACAACAGUCCGUCUGGAGUCCAAGUUCAUGUCCAUGCUUGAUCUGCACACUUCAAAGCUGCUGGCCCUCUUCCGUGCAAAGGGAGGAAGCCUUGGGGGAAGGUUGCAGGCAAUCCUACUCAAGAUAUUAUUCAAAAAGAAUGCUGUUGGAGACACUGUCGCAUGACCUUGCAACACAGAUGAUGAAAAUCUACACUACCAGUCAAAAGUUUGGACACACCUAAUUCCAUGGUCUUUCCUGAUGUUUAUUUCAUUCUACAUUGUAAAACAAUGCUGAAGGGGGCUGAAAUAUACAAUAAUGUCCUUUGAACAGUUGAUAUUGAGAUAUGUCUGCUACUUAUGCUCUGUAAAGCCUUCAUAACAGCUCUAAUCUGAGGUGCUGUUAAUUGGUGAUUUCUGAGGCUGGUCACUCUAAAUGAACUUCUCCUCUGC